This 430-nucleotide ribosomal RNA is filed under the name uncultured Streptococcus sp. RNAcentral describes it as "bacterial SSU rRNA". It matches the Rfam family "Bacterial small subunit ribosomal RNA", at positions 948 to 1382 of the family's 1533-position model. Lineage: Bacteria; Bacillati; Bacillota; Bacilli; Lactobacillales; Streptococcaceae. The record is from RNAcentral.
AAUUCGAAGCUAACGCGAAGAACCUUACCAGGUCUUGACAUCCCGAUGCUAUUCUAGAGUAUAGAAGUUACUUCGGUACAUCGGUGACAGGUGGUGCAUGGUUGUCGUCAGCUCGUGUCGUGAGAUGUUGGGUUAAGUCCCGCAACGAGCGCAACCCUAUUGUUAGUUGCCAUCAUUCAGUUGGGCACUCUAGCGAGACUGCCGGUAAUAAACCGGAGGAAGUGGGAUGACGUCAAAUCAUCAUGCCCCUUAUGACCUGGGCUACACACGUGCUACAAUGGUUGGUACAACGAGUUGCGAGUCGGUGACGGCGAGCUAAUCUCUUAAAGCCAAUCUCAGUUCGGAUUGUAGGCUGCAACUCGCCUACAUGAAGUCGGAAUCGCUAGUAAUCGCGGAUCAGCACGCCGCGGUGAAUACGUUCCCGGGCCUU